This 253-nucleotide ribosomal RNA is filed under the name uncultured bacterium. RNAcentral describes it as "partial 16S ribosomal RNA". It matches the Rfam family "Bacterial small subunit ribosomal RNA", at positions 524 to 776 of the family's 1533-position model. The record is from RNAcentral.
UACGAAGGUCCCAAGCGUUAUCCGGAUUUAUUGGGUUUAAAGGGUGCGUAGGCGGGCUAUUAAGUCAGUGGUGAAAGCCUCAAGCUUAACUUGAGAAUUGCCAUUGAUACUGAUGACCUUGAGUACAUUUGAAGUGGGCGGAAUGUGUCAUGUAGCGGUGAAAUGCUUAGAUAUGACACAGAACACCGAUUGCGUAGGCAGCCCACUAAACUGUAACUGACGCUGAGGCACGAAAGCGUGGGGAGCAAACAGG